GACGAACGCUGGCGGCGUGCUUAACACAUGCAAGUCGAACGAAGAGCGAUGGAAGCUUGCUUCUAUCAAUCUUAGUGGCGAACGGGUGAGUAACGCGUAAUCAACCUGCCCUUCAGAGGGGGACAACAGUUGGAAACGACUGCUAAUACCGCAUACGAUCUAAUCUCGGCAUCGAGGAUAGAUGAAAGGUGGCCUCUACAUGUAAGCUAUCACUGAAGGAGGGGAUUGCGUCUGAUUAGCUAGUUGGAGGGGUAACGGCCCACCAAGGCGAUGAUCAGUAGCCGGUCUGAGAGGAUGAACGGCCACAUUGGGACUGAGACACGGCCCAGACUCCUACGGGAGGCAGCAGUGGGGAAUCUUCCGCAAUGGACGAAAGUCUGACGGAGCAACGCCGCGUGAGUGAUGACGGCCUUCGGGGUGUAAAAGCUCUGUUAAUCGGGACGAAAGGCCCUCCUG
This 456-nucleotide ribosomal RNA is filed under the name Veillonella parvula. RNAcentral describes it as "bacterial SSU rRNA". It matches the Rfam family "Bacterial small subunit ribosomal RNA", at positions 28 to 460 of the family's 1533-position model. The record is from RNAcentral. Lineage: Bacteria; Bacillati; Bacillota; Negativicutes; Veillonellales; Veillonellaceae.